AUUCCAAUCGAACCCGGAGAUAGCUGGUUCUCCCCGAAAUAGCUUUAGGGCUAGCCUCAAGCGUAGAGAAACGGAGGUAGAGCACUGAAUGUCCUAGGGGGUAUUGCACUUACCGAAGACUAUCAAACUCCGAAUGCCGUUUUCUUUUACUUGGGAGUCAGACUGUGGGUGAUAAGAUUCAUAGUCAAAAGGGCAACAGCCCAGAUCGUCAGCUAAGGUCCCUAAAUGUACGUUAAGUGGUAAAGGAUGUGGGAUUGCACAGACAACCAGGAUGUUGGCUUAGAAGCAGCCACUCAUUUAAAGAGUGCGUAAUAGCUCACUGGUCGAGUGAUCCUGCGCCGAAAAUUUCCGGGGCUAAAACGUACUACCGAAGCUACGGCAUCAUUUAUGAUGGGUAGGGGAGCUUCGUAUGCAGGCUGAAGCAUGACCGUAAGGACAUGUGGACAGUAUACGAGUGAGAAUGUUGGCAUGAGUAGCGAGACGUGGGUGAGAAUCCCACGGGCCGUAAACCCAAGGUUUCCAGGGGAAGGUUCGUCCGCCCUGGGUUAGUCGGGACCUAAGCCGAGGCCGAAAGGCGUAGGUGAUGGACAACAGGUUGAUAUUCCUGUACCGCCAAUAAGCGUUUGAGAGAUGGAGUGACACAGUAGGAUAAGCUAACCGUACUGUUGGUUAUGUACGGCUAAGCAUUGAGGCAGUCUAAAUAGGCAAAUCCGUUUAGACAAUGCUAGGAUGUGAUGGGGAAGCCCUUCGGGGCGAAGUAGCUGAUUUCACACUGUCAAGAAAAGCUUCUAUCGAGUUUAAAGGCGCCCGUACCGUAAACCGACACAGGUGGGUGAGGAGAGUAUCCUAAGGCCAGCGAGAGAACUAUUGUUAAGGAACUCGGCAAAAUGACCCCGUAACUUAGGGAGAAGGGGUGCCUGUCUAUGACAGGCCGCAGAGAAUAGGCCCAAGCGACUGUUUACCAAAAACACAGGUUUCUGCUAAGUCGCAAGACGAUGUAUAGGAGCUGACGCCUGCCCGGUGCUGGAAGGUUAAGGGGAUCUGUUAGAGCAAUCGAAGCAGUGAACUUAAGCCCCAGUAAACGGCGGCCGUAACUAUAACGGUCCUAAGGUAGCGAAAUUCCUUGUCGGGUAAGUUCCGACCCGCACGAAAGGCGUAACGAUUUGGGCACUGUCUCAACAAUAGACUCGGUGAAAUUGUAAUCCCGGUGAAGAUGCCGGGUACCUGCGACAGGACGGAAAGACCCCAUGGAGCUUUACUGUAGCUUGACGUUGGGUCUUGGUACUACAUGUACAGGAUAGGUGGGAGACUAUGAAGCAUGGACGCCAGUCUGUGUGGAGUCAUCCUUGGGAUACCACCCUUGUAGUACUGGGAUCCUAACCAUAGGCCUUGAAUCAGGUCUUGGAACACCGUCAGGUGGGCAGUUUGACUGGGGCGGUCGCCUCCUAAAAAGUAACGGAGGCGCUCAAAGGUUUCCUCAGCACGGUCGGAAAUCGUGCGAAGAGUGUAAAGGCAAAAGGAAGCUUGAUUGCAAGACAUACAGGUCGAGCAAGGACGAAAGUCGGACUUAGUGAUCCGGUGGUACCGCAUGGAAGGGCCAUCGCUCAACGGAUAAAAGCUACCCUGGGGAUAACAGGCUUAUCUCCCCCAAGAGUCCACAUCGACGGGGAGGUUUGGCACCUCGAUGUCGGCUCAUCACAUCCUGGGGCUGUAUUCGGUCCCAAGGGUUCGGCUGUUCGCCGAUUAAAGUGGUACGCGAGCUGGGUUCAGAACGUCGUGAGACAGUUCGGUCCCUAUCCAUCGCGGGCGUAAGAAACUUGAAAGGGGCUGCUCCUAGUACGAGAGGACCGGAGUGGACCGACCAAUGGUGUACCAGUCAUGGCGCCAGCCGUGCAGCUGGGUAGCUACGUCGGGGACGGAUAAACGCUGAAAGCAUCUAAGCGUGAAACCAGCCUAGAGAUGAGGUUUCUCAUUACAUUAGUAAGUAAGGUCCCACAAAGACGAUGUGGUUGAUAGGCCGGGAGUGGAAGUACAGCGAUGUACGGAGCGGACCGGUACUAAUAGACCGAGGACUUGACUUA
Molecule: ribosomal RNA, 2081 nt
Filed under: human gut metagenome
Description: bacterial LSU rRNA
Rfam family: Bacterial large subunit ribosomal RNA
Source: RNAcentral